This is an RNA transcript of Aedes aegypti (yellow fever mosquito), 1698 nucleotides long. It is a transcript of the gene named tudor domain-containing protein 5, with no coding region annotated. The transcript is spliced from 4 exons. The record is from RefSeq and is a predicted model, not a curated record. Lineage: Eukaryota; Metazoa; Arthropoda; Insecta; Diptera; Culicidae.
GUCACCCUGUUUGAUAAAAAAAAAUCAAAAACAACAAACCGCGAAUUUAGUUCGGCUUUUCAGGUGGUUUUAUGAGUUUUCUUGUGAUUCGUCGUAUAAUUUAUGUAAAAAACGCUCCGAAAGUGAAGUGCGUCGCUGUUUAAUCCACCCAUUUAAUCAGGCAACGCAAAUAGCAUUCUUCCACCAUGGCAGACUAUACGAUGGACGAGAUCAAAAACAUCAUCCGCUCGAUUGCCAUUUCCGGUGGGGCGCGUGGCCUCUCGGUCAAAAUGUUGGCCGACGAUUUCAAAAAGAUCGAAGGAUUCGACUUGCCGUACCAUCGGCUGGGUUUUCGAUCCCCGGAUGAAUUCCUGCGCAGUUUGACCGAUACCGUGAUGAUAAAUGGAUACGGAACAUCGGCAUUGGUGGAACCAGUUGUGACACAAAACACACGACACGUCCGGGAAUUGGUCAAGAAGAGUAACAGCAAAUCGAACCCACGAAAAUGGGGGAACAAAAGCUAUUCCAGGUCGGCCUAUCGACCACCUGCAGAAUAUAGCUCAGACUAUAGAAAAGGUAAUGGUCAAUCCUACAAUCGGUCAGGAACUAGCAAUGGAUUCUGGAAACCUCCAUCCAGUUACAUUCGUCAGACUAACAGUGAUCACUAUGACGAACAUCGCGAAGAAUCUCGAAAGGUGUACAACAGGGAGUUCGAUUUUGCGGAUACAGCUGCCCAAGAUGAAGACGACUUUGGAAGUUCGGAUGAGGAUAUGCCCAAGUUCGUUCUGACGCAGGAUAAAAAGCUGACCCAGGUGCAAGAUUCCCUACAAACAAUGACCAUCACAGCAUCCCCUCAAAAGUCGUCCAAGGUCCAGUCUAGCGAUGCCAUUCCGGAUGACGCGGUGCUGGCGUUGAUCAAUUGCUUGGAGAUUCCAGAAGGCGCCAUGAAUCUGACUGAUACGAUUAAAACGCAACAAAUUGCUCCUGAUAUCGUUCCGAAGAAGUCGGUGCAAAUUUUCGUAACGGAAGUGCACAAUCCGAAUCGCUUUUGGUACCACAUGGGCGAGAAUGCCAACAAAAUCGAUGAACUGAUGAACGAGAUCGAUGCAUACUAUGGCCACCUGGAGCGGGAAGAAUGGUGUGUCAAGCCGUCCAGUGUGGCCGUCGGUUUGUACUGCGUGGCCAAAUUUCCGGCAUGUGGCAUCGGGGGAAAAUAGUCAGCGAUUUGGCGCACAACAGGGUCAAGGUGUUCUACAUUGACUACGGAACCGUUUCCGAGUCGGAGCUGAAGGACGUCAAGUUCAUGGCCAAGUGCUUCUCCAGUAUGCCGGCGCAGGCCAUGCGGGCGUCGUUGGCGUAUGUGAAGCCAGUCGGCCAUCGGUGGACGCGGGACGCUUGCUGGUCGCUGCUUUCGCUCGUCUACGAGAAGAUCCUGUUCGCUUAUGUGGUGGACAUCAACAAGGAGGAAAACUGUCUGGAUGUGGUUCUGAUCGAUACCACCGGCAAUAAGGACAGCAUCAUCAAUCAACAGCUGUUCAUCAAGGGCCAUGGCAUUUGGGAGGAUGACGUGCCAUACAAGGAGAAGAGCGUAAGUUGAAUACUUUCUUCCGGAUAUUAAUGUGAUAAUUGAGCGGUGAUGCUCGAGGCCGUGCUUAGCGCGGAUCGUCGAACGACUGUGGCCGUUGUUUGUAAGAUUUAAAUGUUUCAUUUUACACACGA